AACCAUAUGGCCGAGUGGUUCAAGGCGAUGGUUUUAAGUCGAGUAUUUAUACUCUUAUUAUCACCAUUUUCAUUGCGAAGCGUGAGUUCGAACCUCACAGUGGACA
Molecule: non-coding RNA, 106 nt
Organism: Cadophora malorum
Lineage: Eukaryota; Fungi; Ascomycota; Leotiomycetes; Helotiales; Ploettnerulaceae
Source: the annotation of a GenBank genome assembly